CCAGGCGUUGCCAAGUGUGGACGAGUCUGAAGGUUCAUCUUCUACUGGUGAUGAGGAGGGGCCUGAAGAUAAAGAAGAAAACAUCUCAUAAGCGACACAACCAAAGAUUCAUCGCAGUGGUUUCAGCCAUUCUAUGAGCACCUUCGCCACGGAUGCAUUCAACCCGGUCAUCGUUAACGGUCACGUUGCCGAACGAAUCCGCAUGCUGAUGUGUUUGUGCACCACACCCACGGACGUGAUCCCAUCAUAGUUAACUCUGCAUGUCACCUUUACUCGCUGCAGCCACAAGGUGACGAUGGGUUCACAGCACUGUUUCCCCCCAUCGAAGAAGCAGCGGAUGGUAUUUCUUCCACCAGCACACUACCCAAUCUGUAAGCCAUCGACCAGUAUGGUGAACAGGCACAUCGCCAUGGAGGGGUGGACGACAAACUUCCCCACUGUAGACGAGAUGUUGAAGCUGUGGAAGCCAACCUCUGCUCAAGCUUGCAGCUGAGGGAAAUGUGAAGAUGGAGGCCACGACUGACCAGGCUUCCUACAUGUUGUUUUUUUAAAACGGGGAUAAGCACCUCUGCAUCGAUGCCCAAGCCCCUCGGUGCAAGUGCCAUCCCGACACAGAGACAGUGGGGCGGUUAACGCAGCUGACGUCAUCUUCUUCAAGGUCCGCAAAAACAUUGAGGUGAACGAGGAACUUAAGUUUGACUAUGGGGUCAGACUGAGGUCUUUCAGGGGAGAGGGCCUGUCACUGCUGUGGUUGGAUGAGUGAGCGGCUCAUCCUUGCAGUCCCCAUUGCAGCCACAGCCUCGGACGAGGACACACGUCAACACAAGGGAUUUUGUCUGCACUUUUUUCCCCCCUCUUUUUUGUUAUUUCAUUUAUUUACUGUAUAUGUGUUUGGGUUUUUUUUCUUCCAAUUGUUGCCGAUUGUUUGGUGUCAUAUUGUGGCAAUAAUCGGCUUUGAUUCUACAGACUGCAUUGGUCCGCGUGUUCACUGACUGAGCAAGAGCUUGUAAUGUUGUCCGAUGUCACCUUUCCCUAUUUCCUCGUUCAUAUCUUAGUUCCCCUACAAAGUGCAGUGUGAAAAAACAAUAGAAACAAUGAUCACCCAAUUCAACUGCAGCCAGGAGAAGGGCAAAAACAUAGACAAUGUUUCUUAUGUAGUUUCUUUAUGUCUCCCAUGCGUCCCUUGGUCUGUGUAGGUACACGUUUGUAACAGCAGGUGGCAGAGUUGUCCCAAUUUCUGGUGGAUUUAAAUCAAACCUUGUCAUGCGUACUCAAUGUCCACCAACCCACCAGAAUGUGUACUACUCGCCUCUGUGCACGUUAUAUUUUUUUUAUUAUGUCAGCAAUUUACAAUGCCUCCCUUUCCUGAACAGCAUCAAUUGUGGUUGAUGGUUUAGUAAUAACAAUGUCCUUACUUGUUCCCCGUACGUGCAACAUGUCAAUCAUUACGUCACUGGUUCGGGCUGUGUACUUUUCUCUCGCAUGGCAGUAAGUUUGGCACGCCCAUUUUGGUUAUGUGACGUGCGCUUUUCGGUGGCUUUUUUUCCAACAAGAGGUGACUAAAGCCGGAGUGUCCCCAUUCAGGUAAGAAGUCAGGAAUGAGCAUUUAUCAUUUGAAAUUAUUUACAAUGAUUAACUGAGACACCUUGAACUGGUACAAAACAACUGCGAGGGUUAACAUGAACACUAAAACGGCUCCUUGAGUGA
This is a long non-coding RNA of Pungitius pungitius (ninespine stickleback), 1707 nucleotides long. RefSeq lists it as uncharacterized. The transcript has 4 exons. NCBI's taxonomy places the organism in Eukaryota, Metazoa, Chordata, Actinopteri, Perciformes, Gasterosteidae. The record is from RefSeq and is a predicted model, not a curated record.